GGGGGGAAGAGGACUAACAGGAUUCCCCUAGUAACUGCGAGUGAAGCGGGAAAAGCUCAAAUUUAAAAUCUGGCAGUCUCUGGCUGUCCGAGUUGUAAUCUAGAGAAGUAAUGCCCGUGCUGGACCGUGUAUAAGUCUCCUGGGAUGGGGCGUCAUAGAGGGUGAGAAUCCCGUCUUUGACACGGACUACCAGUGCAUUGUGGUAUGCUCUCAAAGAGUCGAGUUGUUUGGGAAUGCAGCUCAAAAUGGGUGGUAAAUUCCAUCUAAAGCUAAAUAUUGGCGAGAGACCGAUAGCGAACAAGUACCGUGAGGGAAAGAUGAAAAGAACUUUGGAAAGAGAGUUAAACAGUACGUGAAAUUGCUGAAAGGGAAACGCUUGAAGUCAGUCGCGUUGGCCGGGAAUCAGCCUUGCUUUUGCAUGGUGUACUUUCUGGUUGACGGGUCAGCAUCAAUUUYGAUCGCUGGAAAAAGGCCUGGGGAAUGUGGCAGCUUYGGCUGUGUUAUAGCCCCUAGUCGCAUACAGUGGUUGGGAUUGAGGAACUCAGCACGCCGCAAGGCCGGGUUUCGACCACGUUCGUGCUUAGGAUGCUGGCAUAAUGGCUUUAAGCGACCCGUCUUGAAACACGGACCAAGGAGUCUAACAUGCCUGCGAGUAUUUGGGUGGAAAACUCAAGUGCGUAAUGAAAGUGAAAGUUGAGAUCCCUGUCGUGGGGAGCAUCGACGCCCGGACCAGAACUUUUGGGACGGAUCCGCGGUGGAGCAUGUAUGUUGGGACCCGAAAGAUGGUGAACUAUGCCUGAAUAGGGUGAAGCCAGAGGAAACUCUGGUGGAGGCUCGUAGCGAUUCUGACGUGCAAAUCGAUCGUCAAAUUUGGGUAUAGGGGCGAAAGACUAAUCGAACCAUCAAGGGCCC
RNAcentral lists this ribosomal RNA (912 nucleotides) under Agaricus sp. RNAcentral's name for it is "LSU rRNA". It matches the Rfam family "Eukaryotic large subunit ribosomal RNA", at positions 51 to 952 of the family's 3401-position model. The record is from RNAcentral. Lineage: Eukaryota; Fungi; Basidiomycota; Agaricomycetes; Agaricales; Agaricaceae.